CCUACGGGAGGCAGCAGUGGGGAAUAUUGCACAAUGGGGGAAACCCUGAUGCAGCAACGUCGCGUGAGUGAAGAAGGAUCUCCGUAUGUAAAGCUUCAUCAGCAGGGAAGAAGAUGACGGUACGUGUGUAAGAAGCCCCGGCUAAAUACGUGCCAGCAGCCGCGGUAAUACGGAGGGGGCAAGCGUUAUACGGAUUUACUGGGGGUAAAGGGAGCGUAGUUGGUGAGACAAGUCUAAAGUGAAAGCCCGGGGCUCAACCCCGGGACUGCUUUGGAAACUGCCUGACUGGAGUGCUGGAGAGGCAUGCGGAAUUCCUGGUGUAGCGGUGAAAUGCGUAGAUAUUAGGAAGAACACCGGUGGCGAAGGCAGCAUGCUGGACAGUAACUGACGUUGAGGCUCGAAAGCGUGGGGAGCGAACAGGAUUAGAUACCCUUGUAGUC
RNAcentral lists this ribosomal RNA (440 nucleotides) under uncultured bacterium. RNAcentral's name for it is "partial 16S ribosomal RNA". It matches the Rfam family "Bacterial small subunit ribosomal RNA", at positions 338 to 795 of the family's 1533-position model. The record is from RNAcentral.